RNAcentral lists this ribosomal RNA (373 nucleotides) under uncultured bacterium. RNAcentral's name for it is "bacterial SSU rRNA". It matches the Rfam family "Bacterial small subunit ribosomal RNA", at positions 28 to 402 of the family's 1533-position model. The record is from RNAcentral.
GUUGAACGCUGGCGGCAUGCCUUACACAUGCAAGUCGAACGGCAGCACGGGGGCGAACCCUGGUGGCGAGUGGCGAACGGGUGAGUAAUGCAUCGGAACGUGCCCCGUAGCGGGGGAUAACCAGUCGAAAGACUGGCUAAUACCGCAUACGCUCCACGGAGGAAAGCAGGGGAUCGCAAGACCUUGCACUAUGGGGAGCGGCCGAUGCCCGAUUAGCUAGUUGGUGAGGAAAGGCUCACCAAGGCGACGAUCGGUAGCUGGUUUGAGAGAACGACCAGCCACACUGGGACUGAGACACGGCCCAGACUCCUACGGGAGGCAGCAGUGGGGAAUUUUGGACAAUGGGCGCAAGCCUGAUCCAGCCAUGCCGCGU